Cavia porcellus (domestic guinea pig) is the source of this 806-nucleotide long non-coding RNA. RefSeq lists it as uncharacterized. Lineage: Eukaryota; Metazoa; Chordata; Mammalia; Rodentia; Caviidae. The transcript is spliced from 3 exons. The record is from RefSeq and is a predicted model, not a curated record.
UCCAGGCGUUGGGAGCCGAGGUUUUCUAAUAAAGCCUGUAGGCGUGCGUGGGGACCGCACGUGGGUCCGCCGCCGGCCGUGUGCCCAGGUCUCCGCACGCGCGCCUACGCCUCCUCGUUUAGGGCAAACCAGUCGCCUGGUUCCGGCUGCCCUUGUGCCUGUCCCCAGCUCCGCGGUCCGCUCUUUGGGAGGGGCACGAGGGUCCCGUGUUCUGCGGGUCCAGGCGCACUCGCGCAGUAAUGCCAGUACUGUGGGAGGCUGAGGCAGGAAGAUCGCAAGGUUGAGCUGGAGAUACAGGGAAGUCAGCGCUAGCUCGGCCCGUUCUCCUCUGGCUUUACGCUGGACUCCUCCUCCCCAAGGAAGGGUCUUGCUAUGUGGUUCAGGCUGGCCUUGAACUCACUAUGUAGCCAAGGGUGGCCUUGAACUGGAAGUCAUCCUCCUGCCUCAGCCUCCCGAGUGCUGGGGUUACAGGUGUGCACCACCAUGUUCAGCAGUUAAAUUAAUUUCUGAAUGGAUUCUGGUGUCAAAAAUGUCCUGAAGCUACCACCCUAUUUAGUGUUUGAAUAAUUAGAGCAUAUAUUCCCGGGGUAGAACAUGUUGGUAAGAGGAGCUCACCAAAGUGAAGAUACACUAGAUAAGUAAAUAAAUAAAUAGCAUUAUUGUCUGUUUUGUAGUUCUUAAUGUCUCCUGAAGUUUCAAGUACAUUCCCACCACAAUUUGGAAGGAUGGAUCCCACUUGCCAUCUAAAAAUAAUGCAUUAUAAAGUUUUCUAACAAAUUUUUUAUUUUAAAGAAUUUUUGUAUCUA